Molecule: ribosomal RNA, 435 nt
Filed under: uncultured bacterium
Lineage: Bacteria
Description: bacterial SSU rRNA
Rfam family: Bacterial small subunit ribosomal RNA
Source: RNAcentral
ACGGGAGGCAGCAGUCGGGAAUAUUGCGCAAUGGAGGAAACUCUGACGCAGUGACGCCGCGUGCAGGAAGAAGGUUUUCGGAUUGUAAACUGCUUUAGACAGGGAAGAAACAAGACAGUACCUGUAGAAUAAGCUCCGGCUAACUACGUGCCAGCAGCCGCGGUAAUACGUAGGGAGCAAGCGUUAUCCGGAUUUAUUGGGUGUAAAGGGUGCGUAGACGGGAAGUCAAGUUAGUUGUGAAAUCCCUCGGCUCAACUGAGGAACUGCAACUAAAACUAACUUUCUUGAGUGCUGGAGAGGAAAGUGGAAUUCCUAGUGUAGCGGUGAAAUGCGUAGAUAUUAGGAGGAACACCAGUGGCGAAGGCGACUUUCUGGACAGUAACUGACGUUGAGGCACGAAAGUGUGGGGAGCAAACAGGAUUAGAUACCCUGGUA